UCCUACGGGGGGCAGCAGUGGGGAAUAUUGCACAAUGGGGGAAACCCUGAUGCAGCGACGCCGCGUGAGUGAGGAAGUAUUUCGGUAUGUAAAGCUCUAUCAGCAGGGAAGAAAAUGACGGUACCUGACUAAGAAGCCCCGGCUAACUACGUGCCAGCAGCCGCGGUAAUACGUAGGGGGCAAGCGUUAUCCGGAUUUACUGGGUGUAAAGGGAGCGUAGACGGCUAAUCAAGUCAGAAGUGAAAACCCAGGGCUCAACUUUGGGACUGCUUUUGAAACUGAGUAGCUAGAGUGCAGGAGAGGUA
RNAcentral lists this ribosomal RNA (305 nucleotides) under uncultured bacterium. Its description in RNAcentral is "bacterial SSU rRNA". It matches the Rfam family "Bacterial small subunit ribosomal RNA", at positions 337 to 659 of the family's 1533-position model. The record is from RNAcentral.